This 1016-nucleotide ribosomal RNA is filed under the name Pseudoalteromonas sp. Ld1. Its description in RNAcentral is "bacterial SSU rRNA". It matches the Rfam family "Bacterial small subunit ribosomal RNA", at positions 443 to 1457 of the family's 1533-position model. The record is from RNAcentral. Lineage: Bacteria; Pseudomonadati; Pseudomonadota; Gammaproteobacteria; Alteromonadales; Pseudoalteromonadaceae.
AAAAGGUUAGUAGUUAAUAGCUGCUAGCUGUGACGUUACUGACAGAAGAAGCACCGGCUAACUCCGUGCCAGCAGCCGCGGUAAUACGGAGGGUGCGAGCGUUAAUCGGAAUUACUGGGCGUAAAGCGUACGCAGGCGGUUUGUUAAGCGAGAUGUGAAAGCCCCGGGCUCAACCUGGGAACUGCAUUUCGAACUGGCAGACUAGAGUGUGAUAGAGGGUGGUAGAAUUUCAGGUGUAGCGGUGAAAUGCGUAGAGAUCUGAAGGAAUACCGAUGGCGAAGGCAGCCACCUGGGUCAACACUGACGCUCAUGUACGAAAGCGUGGGGAGCAAACGGGAUUAGAUACCCCGGUAGUCCACGCCGUAAACGAUGUCUACUAGAAGCUGGGGUCUUCGGACAACUUUUUCAAAGCUAACGCAUUAAGUAGACCGCCUGGGGAGUACGGCCGCAAGGUUAAAACUCAAAUGAAUUGACGGGGGCCCGCACAAGCGGUGGAGCAUGUGGUUUAAUUCGAUGCAACGCGAAGAACCUUACCUACACUUGACAUACAGAGAACUUACCAGAGAUAGUUUGGUGCCUUCGGGAACUCUGAUACAGGUGCUGCAUGGCUGUCGUCAGCUCGUGUUGUGAGAUGUUGGGUUAAGUCCCGCAACGAGCGCAACCCCUAUCCUUAGUUGCCAGCACAUAAUGGUGGGAACUCUAAGGAGACUGCCGGUGAUAAACCGGAGGAAGGUGGGGACGACGUCAAGUCAUCAUGGCCCUUACGUGUAGGGCUACACACGUGCUACAAUGGCGCAUACAGAGUGCUGCGAGCCUGCGAAGGUUAGCGAAUCACUUAAAGUGCGUCGUAGUCCGGAUUGGAGUCUGCAACUCGACUCCAUGAAGUCGGAAUCGCUAGUAAUCGCGGAUCAGAAUGCCGCGGUGAAUACGUUCCCGGGCCUUGUACACACCGCCCGUCACACCAUGGGAGUGGGUUGCUCCAGAAGUAGGUAGCUUAACCUUAGGGAGGGCGCUAC